AAAACAUUCCUACGGGAGGCAGCAGUGGGGAAUCUUGGACAAUGGGGGCAACCCUGAUCCAGCCAUGCCGCGUGAUCGAUGAAGGCCUUAGGGUUGUAAAGAUCUUUCAGCUGGGAAGAUAAUGACGGUACCAGCAGAAGAAGCCCCGGCUAACUCCGUGCCAGCGGCCGCGGUAAUACGGAGGGGGCUAGCGUUGUUCGGAAUUACUGGGCGUAAAGCGCACGUAGGCGGAUCAGUCAGUCAGGGGUGAAAUCCCGGGGCUCAACCCCGGAACUGCCUUUGAUACUGCUGGUCUUGAGGUCGAGAGAGGUGAGUGGAAUUCCGAGUGUAGAGGUGAAAU
RNAcentral lists this ribosomal RNA (340 nucleotides) under uncultured bacterium. Its description in RNAcentral is "bacterial SSU rRNA". It matches the Rfam family "Bacterial small subunit ribosomal RNA", at positions 330 to 687 of the family's 1533-position model. The record is from RNAcentral.